Molecule: ribosomal RNA, 484 nt
Filed under: uncultured bacterium
Lineage: Bacteria
Description: partial 16S ribosomal RNA
Rfam family: Bacterial small subunit ribosomal RNA
Source: RNAcentral
AUUGAACGCUGGCGGCAGGCCUAACACAUGCAAGUCGAGCGGAUGAAGGGAGCUUGCUCCUGGCUUCAGCGGCGGACGGGUGAGUAAUGCCUAGGAAUCUGCCUGGUAGUGGGGGAUAACGUCCGGAAACGGGCGCUAAUACCGCAUACGUCCUGAGGGAGAAAGUGGGGGAUCUUCGGACCUCACGCUAUCAGAUGAGCCUAGGUCGGAUUAGCUAGUUGGUGGGGUAAAGGCCUACCAAGGCGACGAUCCGUAACUGGUCUGAGAGGAUGAUCAGUCACACUGGAACUGAGACACGGUCCAGACUCCUACGGGAGGCAGCAGUGGGGAAUCUUGGACAAUGGGCGAAAGCCUGAUCCAGCCAUGCCGCGUGUGUGAAGAAGGUCUUCGGAUUGUAAAGCACUGUAAGUUGGGAGGAAGGGCAGUAAGUUAAUACCUUGCUGUUUUGACGUUACCAACAGAAUAAGCACCGGCUAACUUCGUG